This 656-nucleotide ribosomal RNA is filed under the name uncultured archaeon. RNAcentral's name for it is "bacterial SSU rRNA". It matches the Rfam family "Archaeal small subunit ribosomal RNA", at positions 96 to 735 of the family's 1478-position model. The record is from RNAcentral.
ACACGUGGCUAAUCUGCCCUUGGGAUAGGAAUACCCCCGGGAAACUGGGGCUAAUUCCAAAUAGGUGAAGAACUCUGGAAUGAGUCUCCACCAGAAAAGAGCUUACGUUAUGCUCGUAAGUUUCGCCCAAGGAUGAGGCCGCGACCGAUCAGGUUGUUGGCGAGGUAAUGGCUCACCAAGCCUUUUACCGGUGCGGGCCGUGGGAGCGGGAGCCCGGAGAUGGGUACUGAGACAAGGACCCAGGCCCUACGGGGCGCAGCAGUCGCGAAAACUUUGCAAUAAGCGCAAGCUUGACAGGGCUAUCCCGAGUGCCAUCCGCUGAGGAAGGCUUUUACCCAGUCUAGAACGCUGGGGGAAUAAGGAGAGGGCAAGUCUGGUGUCAGCCGCCGCGGUAAUACCAGCUCUCCGAGUGGUGUGGAUGUUUAUUGGGCCUAAAGCAUCCGUAGCUGGCUAAGUUAGUCCCUUGUUAAAUCCACCGAAUUAAUCGUUGGAUUGCGGGGGAUACUGCUUGGCUAGGGGACGAGAGAGGCAGACGGUAUUUUCGGGGUAGGGGUGAAAUCCUAUAAUCCCGGGAAGACCACCAGUGGCGAAGGCUGUCUGCUAGAACGCGCCCGACGGUGAGGGAUGAAAGCUGGGGGAGCGAACCGGAUUAGAUA